CACAGAAAGAGGAACCCAAAGGAGACCUUGCAUUUUUUGCCAUCCGUCCAUAUACACAGAUCAUACUGGCUCCACAGGUUUUCUAGAAGGAAUCAUUAAGUAGACGCAAUUUUGGCUUUGGGUUCAUCUUGCCUAGCUGCAGGUUAUCGAUAUGAGCACUACAACAGGAACCCAAGCACCCGACAUCACUCCAAGCAGUAACCUUGAAUUAAGUCUGGGCCUCCCUCUAGCCUUGGUAAUAGUGGUAGUGGUAGUGGUGAUCGCAGUGUUGUGUAUUCGGCGAUAUAGAUCUGCAAAGUGUUCUCAGCCUACAGAACAAAAGAUCACAGAGGACCCUGUUCACAAUACAGCCAAUCCACGAUAUAUUGCUUCAAUUGUGAGACCUCCAUCAACUCCGCAAGACCCUGUUUACGAGAACUUCCAAAGCAAAGGUCAAGCUCUGGCACAAGACCAACAACGCAACUCCACGAGUACACACAGCAGAGGAAACUCUCAGGUUGAAGAUGUCUACCUGGAGUGUGAUCCUCAGGAUGAUGCGAUUUACAACAACGAUCCGUCUCUCUUUCCGUCUUUCCAACAGCCUGACCGCAGCUAUGAUGAUGAGUAUGUGAUGCCGGACAUGUCAUAGGGUUUCAUUCAGUAGACGUUUUGUAAAUAAGCUGCUGCGAGUGGCAUGUACUACAAAACUGUUGGUUUUAUAUUCCAUACUGUAAAACAGGGGUUUCAAACUGAAUUCCCAGGGGGCCGCAGGUUUUUGUGGUUUCCUUUCAAUCAGCUGCCAAUUAUUGGCCUUGAGAACAAAGCGGGUGGAUACUUUAACCAAUCAAUGACUUGAAUGAACCAUGGGUGCCCAGAACAGCCCAAAAAUCAGUGGACACUGCGGCCCUCCAGGACUGGAGUUUGACACCUGUGCUGUAAAACAAUGUUCUAUAAUGUAAGAUUCCAUACUGUAUUCCAUGUUGGGUAUUGCUGUUCCAUACUUAAAAAAUGCACUUGGUUUUAGGGCCAUAUGGUGAGAAUUCUAUACACCCAGUGAGCACUUUAUUAGGUACUUAUUAGACUUAGGUUUUAGAAUUAUUGGUCUUCUGCUGCUGUGGCCUAUCCACUUAGAGGUUUGAUGUGUUGCGUGUUCAGAGGUGCUCUUCUGCAUACCGCUGUUGUAAUUCAUGGUUUUUUGCACUACUGUCACCUUCCUGUCAGCUUUGACCAGUCUGGUCCUUCUCCUAGGACUUCUCUCAUUAACAACGCAAAAUUGCUGCUCACUGGAUUUUUUUCGCAUCAUUCUCUGCAAACUCUAGAGACUGCUGUACGUGAAAAUCCCAGGUGAUCAGCAGUUUCUGAGAUACUCAAACCACCCACUCUGACCAACAAUCAUUCCAUGGUCACUUAGAUCACAUUUCUUCCCCAUUCAGACUUUUCUUCCGAACAACAGCUGAACCUCUUGACCAAUGUCUGCAUGCUUUUACGCAUUUAGUUGCUGCCACAUGAUUGGCUGAUUAAAUAUGUGCAUUAACAAGCUGGUGUACAGGCCUACCUAAUAAAUUGCUCACUGAGUGUAUCUGUGGUGGUGUAGCUUAGGUUUGAUGUUUUUUGUUUGUUUUAAAGUCAGAGAAUUAGACCUUGUUGCUUAAAAGUUGGUUUCUUCAGUUUAAAGUUUGUACAUCUCAUUAUUUCCAGCUACUGAAAGUUGGAAAGUUGGAAAUAAUUAAGUCUUUAAUUUCCUGUGCCACCAGCAGGUGUAUUACAGGUUACUGGAUAACCCAUGUUGUAUCUGUCUAUCAGCACUAUAACAGAAAAUGGCAGUUAUACUGUAUGUUUAUUGGAAUGAAACUUGUGUCGCGACUAGCUUUCUUACAUGGAAGAAAUGGUAUCCGGACUGUGAAAUGCCAAGGAUGUCAUAUUUUAUGCAUUACCAAGUGCCUCUCUACUUUCCAAUUUUGUAAAAAAUAUUUAACCACUUAAUAAGUCAUUCAAUUAAUUAAACAAACUCACACUGAAGCUA
Conger conger (European conger) is the source of this 2002-nucleotide long non-coding RNA. RefSeq lists it as uncharacterized. The transcript has 3 exons. The record is from RefSeq and is a predicted model, not a curated record. NCBI's taxonomy places the organism in Eukaryota, Metazoa, Chordata, Actinopteri, Anguilliformes, Congridae.